RNAcentral lists this transfer RNA (105 nucleotides) under Methanofollis liminatans DSM 4140. Its description in RNAcentral is "tRNA-Tyr". Lineage: Archaea; Methanobacteriati; Methanobacteriota; Methanomicrobia; Methanomicrobiales; Methanomicrobiaceae. The record is from RNAcentral.
CCCGCCUUAACUCAGACUGGUAGAGUGCGCGGCUGUAGUUUGGUUUGCCGUUUCGGUAACCGCGCGGCUACCGCGAUGUCCCCGGUUCGACUCCGGGAGGCGGGA